Molecule: ribosomal RNA, 253 nt
Filed under: uncultured bacterium
Lineage: Bacteria
Description: partial 16S ribosomal RNA
Rfam family: Bacterial small subunit ribosomal RNA
Source: RNAcentral
UACGGGGGGGGCAAGCGUUGUUCGGAAUUACUGGGCGUAAAGGGCGCGUAGGCGGCCUUCUAAGUCGGACGUGAAAUCCCUCGGCUUAACCGGGGAACUGCGUCCGAUACUGGAUGGCUUGAGUUCGGGAGAGGGAUGCGGAAUUCCAGGUGUAGCGGUGAAAUGCGCAGAUAUCAGGAGGAACACCGGUGGCGAAGGCGGGUCUCUGGGCCGUAACUGACGCUGAGGAGCGAAAGCGUGGGGAGCGAACAGG